Molecule: ribosomal RNA, 473 nt
Filed under: uncultured bacterium
Lineage: Bacteria
Description: bacterial SSU rRNA
Rfam family: Bacterial small subunit ribosomal RNA
Source: RNAcentral
UCAUCCUACGGGGAGGCAGCAGUGGGGGAAUAUUGCACAAUGGGCGCAAGCCUGAUGCAGCCAUGCCGCGUGUGUGAAGAAGGCCUUCGGGUUGUAAAGCACUUUCAGUCGUGAGGAAGGUGGUGUAGUUAAUAGCUGCAUCAUUUGACGUUAGCGACAGAAGAAAGCACCGGCUAACUCCGUGCCAGCAGCCGCGGUAAUACGGAGGGUGCGAGCGUUAAUCGGAAUUACUGGGCGUAAAGCGCAUGCAGGUGGUUUGUUAAGUCAGAUGUGAAAGCCCGGGGCUCAACCUCGGAAUAGCAUUUGAAACUAGGCAGACUAGAGUACUGUAGAGGGGGGUAGGAAUUUCAGGUGUAGCGGUGAAAUGCGUAGAGAUCUGAAGGAAUACCGGUGGCGAAGGCGGCCCCCUCGGACAGAUACUGACACUCAGAUGCGAAAGCGUGGGGAGCAAACAGGAUUAGAUACCCUGGUAG